GAGGAUGUAGCUCAGAGGUAGAGCAUGUGCUUAGCAUGCAUGAGGUCCUGGGUUCAAUCCCCAGCACCUCU
RNAcentral lists this transfer RNA (71 nucleotides) under Camelus bactrianus (Bactrian camel). It matches the Rfam family "tRNA". Rfam says of the family: Transfer RNA (tRNA) molecules are approximately 80 nucleotides in length. Their secondary structure includes four short double-helical elements and three loops (D, anti-codon, and T loops). The record is from Rfam by way of RNAcentral. RNAcentral also lists the same sequence under 2 other names. Lineage: Eukaryota; Metazoa; Chordata; Mammalia; Artiodactyla; Camelidae.